CCUACGGGUGGCUGCAGUGGGGAAUAUUGCACAAUGGGCGCAAGCCUGAUGCAGCCAUGCCGCGUGUGUGAAGAAGGCCUUCGGGUUGUAAAGCACUUUCAGCGGGGAGGAAGGCGGUGAGGUUAAUAACCUCAUCGAUUGACGUUACCCGCAGAAGAAGCACCGGCUAACUCCGUGCCAGCAGCCGCGGUAAUACGGAGGGUGCAAGCGUUAAUCGGAAUUACUGGGCGUAAAGCGCACGCAGGCGGUCUGUCAAGUCGGAUGUGACAUCCCCGGGCUCAACCUGGGAACUGCAUUCGAAACUGGCAGGCUAGAGUCUUGUAGAGGGGGGUAGAAUUCCAGGUGUAGCGGAGAAAUGCGUAGAGAUCUGGAGGAAUACCGGUGGCGAAGGCGGCCCCCUGGACAAAGACUGACGCUCAGGUGCGAAAGCGUGGGGAGCAAACAGGAUUAGAUACCCUAGGAGUC
This 465-nucleotide ribosomal RNA is filed under the name uncultured Klebsiella sp. RNAcentral describes it as "bacterial SSU rRNA". It matches the Rfam family "Bacterial small subunit ribosomal RNA", at positions 338 to 795 of the family's 1533-position model. Lineage: Bacteria; Pseudomonadati; Pseudomonadota; Gammaproteobacteria; Enterobacterales; Enterobacteriaceae. The record is from RNAcentral.